Pongo abelii (Sumatran orangutan) is the source of this 141-nucleotide unclassified non-coding RNA. It matches the Rfam family "Metazoan signal recognition particle RNA". From Rfam's summary of the family: The signal recognition particle (SRP) is a universally conserved ribonucleoprotein. It is involved in the co-translational targeting of proteins to membranes. The eukaryotic SRP consists of a 300-nucleotide 7S RNA and six proteins: SRPs 72, 68, 54, 19, 14, and 9. The record is from Ensembl. NCBI's taxonomy places the organism in Eukaryota, Metazoa, Chordata, Mammalia, Primates, Hominidae.
GCUGGGCGUGGUGGCGCGUGCCUGUAGUCCCAGCUACCGGGAGGCUGAGGCAGGAGAAUCGCUUGAACCCAGGAGGCGGAGGUUGCAGUGAGCCGAGAUCGUGCACUCCAGCCUGGGCAACAGAGUGGGACUCUGUCUCAA